RNAcentral lists this long non-coding RNA (1331 nucleotides) under Homo sapiens (human). RNAcentral's name for it is "HSALNT0300734". The record is from RNAcentral. Lineage: Eukaryota; Metazoa; Chordata; Mammalia; Primates; Hominidae.
GUGGAAAAUAGCCUCAAGGAUGAGAUGAUGAGGAUUUUGAAGAUGGCGCCUACCUUCGGGGUGUGGAGGUAGAGACAGGAGAGAAGCUCAGGAUGCUGCUCAGAACAACCCAUGGCUCAGACUUCCCACCUGCAAGAUGAGCAGACGGGCAGAAGGGUCCUCUCCUUGUCUGCCACCCGCAUGGCGUGCUGUGAGGAGCCUGUGAGAACCUGCCCAUCACCAUGAGAAGUGCAACACCAACCUCAGGUGGAAGGUUGUUUCUCUGGAGAAUCCUGAUUAAUACAUGAAGGGUCAAGAUAAGUCUACUCCAGGUGAAGUGCAAAAAAUGAACAAGGAGGCCCAAUGAUGCAUCUGCUUAACUUUUCAGUUGUCAAUGCAAAUUAAGCACAAAGAGGACAGAGUUGAUGACAUAUCAGGAACAUUUUUUACUUCCGGAGCAGGUCUGAGUCCCAGCGGAAGACUGAGGCCGACUGAGCCAGAGGCACCACUUCAAUAGGUCACUGGUCUCUGCAGGGAAAGGAAAAGGUGUAAGAGUUCUCCCUGCAUAGAUGCUAUUUGUGACUUGGAUGUUUUCUUUCUAAUACAAAUGCAUCAAAGUGUUCACAGGAAUCUAGCUAUAUGCAAGAAGUCUGGAUUAUCUGCCUGAGAGAACUGGCCAGUAUCUCACCCAUGAGCACCAGAACCCAUUUCUAGAUUACUAAGAAAGGAGCACAAGAACACUGUGUAUAAGGCUCUGUGUUCCUAGAACUUUCUAAAUUUUACUUAAUGCAGGUUAACUUCAUCAACCCUGGUGAAAAUGCCACCUCCUCAUGAGGAAGCCUUCCCCAUUUGCUCUGUCUCAGAGACACUUGACUCCAUGGACUUCUCUGCAAUUCUGUUCUGUGUAGGACUGCCUAGUGCCUAGCCUUCUUGUGAUGUUCCUUGCUUAUGUCUUGUCUCCCCAUUUGAUUUGGAGGGUCCUGGGCAGGGACCACUGGGCUGGGCUCUAGUAGGCCCCCUGUAAAGACCUGUUGAGUAAUUAGAAGAGACAGUGGCCCCAUCUGGGUGAAUCCUGAAUUUAAUCAAUUUCCUGGAUCCUUGUUUAUUUUGCAAGUAGGAUAAGAAUGUCAUUGAAAUCCUAUCAUGUAGUCAUGGAAGGGCUAAUACAGUCAGUGUACUGCUACUCACUAAGCAUGCUGUUUAGCUCAGCGGUUUUUUGUUUUGUUUUGAUAACAAGACUGUCUCGAUGAAAGAAGCAGGGCGUUGUUUAAUAUUCUAAUGCAGGCUCCUUAUUUCACGACAUACUGGUAGUUACACUUGGAGUCGCAGUGAAAUAAAACAUCUAGGCCAGC